RNAcentral lists this ribosomal RNA (569 nucleotides) under Aporcelaimellus sp. MHb18. Its description in RNAcentral is "SSU rRNA". It matches the Rfam family "Eukaryotic small subunit ribosomal RNA", at positions 1058 to 1652 of the family's 1831-position model. Lineage: Eukaryota; Metazoa; Nematoda; Enoplea; Dorylaimida; Aporcelaimidae. The record is from RNAcentral.
CGGCGUUAAUAUAUGACCCGAUUAGCAGCUUCCGGGAAACCAAAGUUUUUCGUUUCCGGGGGAAGUAUGGUUGCAAAGCUGAAACUUAAAGGAAUUGACGGAAGGGCACCACCAGGAGUGGAGCCUGCGGCUUAAUUUGACUCAACACGGGAAAACUCACCCGGCCCGGACACCGUAAGGAUUGACAGACUGAGAGCUCUUUCUUAAUUCGGUGGGUGGUGGUGCAUGGCCGUUCUUAGUUGGUGGAGCGAUUUGUCUGGUUAAUUCCGAUAACGAACGAGACUCUGGCCUAUUAAAUAGACGAUAUAUUUAAAAGUAUAUCGCGCUUCUUAGAGGGACAAGCGGCGUCUAGCCGCAUGAAAUAGAGCAAUAACAGGUCUGUGAUGCCCUUAGAUGUCCGGGGCUGCACGCGCGCUACACUGAAAGAAUCAGUGUGCGUUACGCCUAGUUCGGAAGAACCGGGUAACCCAAGUAAAUUCUUUCGUGCUUGGGAUAGGGAAUUGCAAUUAUUUCCCUUAAACGAGGAAUUCCCAGUAAAUGCGGGUCAUAAGCUCGCGUUGAUUACGUCC